Long non-coding RNA from Heterocephalus glaber (naked mole-rat), 2090 nucleotides. The record is from Ensembl. Lineage: Eukaryota; Metazoa; Chordata; Mammalia; Rodentia; Bathyergidae.
CUUGCUCCUGCUUAGUCGCAGCGGACUCCAAAGUUCAGCACGUUUUGAGUUUCUGAUCCUGCACACAGCGGGGGGGCACACACGACCUAAUGGCUAGUCAGGCGCCGCCCAACCCGCGUUACUCCAUAUCGGCGAACUGCCACUUUAUAACCUGUCCCCAUUUUAAUCCGCAACAAAUGCUCUCCCACCUUCGCUGCCCUCCGCUCACAAUGCAGAUACUCUGGGGGCUUGACUACAGCCAAAAUUUUGGACGGUAAGAUGGACUCUUCAUACCCAAACUCGGGGAGGCUGCCAAUCCUCUCACUCCUCCCACUCCAGUAUCCCCAAACCUACAACUCCGUGGGAGGGGGAGGUCAGAUGAAGCACGUCAUUUAUUUCACAAAGACUGUACAAAAUUCCUUAUAAAACAUGGGGUAGAUGCCGCCUGGUUACCUCACUCCGCCCCUAUCCAACUCCACGUGGGGGAUAGGCAAGGGCCGGAAGUGUGGAUGAACAGCGUUAUGUACAAGGCAGGGGCUGAAGUGAUAGGUACAAGUUCUGUCAUAUUUACACUAUUUCACAUAUUCACAGGUGUAUAGAGAGCCAGAGGACAUAAGCUCGGGCUCUGUUCUCUUGUAUAAAAAAGCACCAGUGUCCUGAACUGGACACCCACUGCUGAAAGAGCUGCAGAGGGGUCCAGGGCCUGAUCGUCACCGACUGAUAUCCCGACUGGAGUCCCACAGCUUGGUGCUGGGUGGCUCAGCCCGAAGGCGAGCGAAGAAAGGAUGCUGAAGGGCUUCACCCAAGCCCCCUGCUUGUGGAGCCCCUUCCAGGGGCAAAGCACCGUAAGCAGGAAGUGACCUCUGAGUGUUGGGAACUAUUUGUCCCCGCCUGGCUCACCCGAAGUGGUUUGCAGUUCUCACGAACGUAACGCCCAGCUGACGUGUUCUCAUCCCAAUCCAGGCGACCCCGGUAAAAAUAUUUCUGCUUUCUAGAGAAGGGGAGGUUGAGGAAUCAGAAAGUUAAAAGACUCUUCCCUUAUUUCCCCACAUGAGAGACUAACUGGGGGAGAUGUCAAAGAAAACAGAUGAUGUGAAACACCAGUUCUUCAGAGACAAAGAAAAAGGGUUAGGUCCCUCCCACUCAAGGUUUACCUUGUCUUCCGAAUCAUCCGAGAAGGGAUGGGACCCAGGAUCCUUUCCAUCAUGGCUAGAUGCUCUCUGUUGUCAUGAGUCUGGGAAACAGAGACCAAUCUGAGCACGGAAAUGAGAAGGGAUGUGGAGGAUCAACUGCCAGAUGGGCACGCAGGGUAAUGAGCAGGCAGGUCCCCAGCAGACCCAAGGAAAGCAGGCAGAAGAAGCCAGAUGGCCAAGACCCCUGCCCACUUACCUGGAAGAGAGUGAAGCCAACAUAGUACUCAAAGAUGAUGCACCCUAUACUCCACACGUCACAAGGCUGCGACCAGCCCAACUCUGGGGGCGGAGUAGAAAGGAACAGGUCCUGAGGGCUUAGAAGGCCUGAUGCUCACCACAUUGCUUCACAUGCUCAGACAGCCUGCCCUUUCUUACCAAGGAUGACUUCCGGUGCUCGGUAGUGGCGAGUGGAAACAAUGGUGCUAUGAUGCUCAUGGUCAAAGGUAGCACUGCCAAAAUCUACCACCCGCACAGCUGUGCUCUUCACACUGCGCUCAUCUCGCUUCUAGGAGCAAAGCAGGAAGUGAUGAAUCUCAGCACUACAGACCAAGAUUCUACCACUAUUCUCCACAGCGCUUCAGAGCCUUAAAAAGCAUCUGACCUAGGUGUGGUGCUACAUACCUGUAAUCCCAACCUGGGCAACUUAUAAUGAGACCCUGUCUCAAAACAUAACAUUAAAAAAAGGGUGGAGAUUUAGCUCAGUUUAGAGGCCCUGGGUUCAAUCCCCAGUACCACAUUAAAAAAUAAAAUAAGGUCUGGGGAUUUCGCUCAGUGGUUCUGCCACCUGUCUUGCAAGCAUAAGGACCCAAGUUCAAUUCCCAGUACCCUGCCCCCCCGCCCCAAAUAAAUAAAAUAAAAGCAAAGCCACUCUGGCUUGGUCCCUCUCACACACUCUGGAAAAUCCCUGGCUUACAACAG